Long non-coding RNA from Manis javanica (Malayan pangolin), 2026 nucleotides. RefSeq lists it as uncharacterized. The record is from RefSeq and is a predicted model, not a curated record. Lineage: Eukaryota; Metazoa; Chordata; Mammalia; Pholidota; Manidae.
AUGGAGAACUGACUGAAAGUCACUCUAGAAUGCAGGAUGGCACCACAGAAGAGUAUGUGUCUUCUCCCAUUUGGGGUCUUAGGAUUCUUUUUAGAUAGUAUUUUUAUUUUAUUUUAUAUAUAUAUUUUUUGAGACUAAAAUGUCGGCUUCACUACAAAGCCAGAUUGGAGGAUAGGGUAUGGUUAUGAAGGGAAACAGGCUUGCUAAUACUCUCCUGUUUUGAACUACCUUCCAAAAUGCCAUCCUCCACUCCUUCUGGGAUAGAGGUUGUUGUGUUUUGCUUACACGUGCUGGGGAAAAGACCAGAACACACACACUCCACAGGCCAGUUUACUGACCUCUGGCCCAAGCAGAAGUGAAUUCAGAAAGCUCAGCCUGUGGGGAGAGCAUGUGCAGUAGUCCCUCUUAUCCGUGGUUUCAGCUACCCGAGGUCAGCCACGGCCUGGAAGCAGAUGAUCCUUGAAGGUCAGUAGUAGCCUAACAUGGCAAUGCCUACGUCGUUCGCCUUGCUUCAUCUCAUCACGCAGGCAUUUUAUCAGCUCACAUCAUCACAAGCAGGGCAAUAUUCUAUCAGACUCAAGUCUAUUUUGUUUUGAUCACUUUGGGCACCAGACUCCUGUCUGUCAUCAGAUAAAGGUCAAUCAACCCAGGUGUGAUGGUGUGUCCAGGUGCAGAUUUUUAUUUAUUCUGUUCAAGACUCAAAUUGCAACUUCAUUGAAAAGACUCAUUAUGUCUAACACUGCCUGCACCACCGGAAUCCCUCUUCAGGACUGAAGGAACGAGUAGCCAGCCAAGACGCGAGGACCUGGGGGUGCUGCCAGCAGACAAUGUUCAGAUGUCAGUUCUCUCUAGGCAUUGUUCUCAGCUGAAUAGUCCUGCUUUGCCCACCAGGUCACAGCCCUUCCUGAUGGCAGCCUGCAUCCAGUGAUGGGUCAGUGCAGGGGUACAAAGCGCCAGCCCUCUGUCUCAACAUGGGACAAUUCUAAAGGGCCAUCUAAGCUUCACAGCUCCCCAUGGUAGGAUGAUCAAUUCACCCAGAUGUGCUAGAGACUCGUGUCCCUGAAACCCCUCAAUUUUACAUCCUAAGACAUCCCUCAAUCCUGGGCACGCCAGGGCAAUUAUUCCCCCUUCUCAUGAAGCUGGCUGAAGACUUUGCUGAGAUGGCGUCGCAGCUCACCUCCUCCUUCUGCCGGGUCCUGCUUCCAUCCCUCCCACUGCUAUUGGUCCCAAGAGCUCCCCGUGAUAAGCUUCUUGCACACUAAUCUCUGUCUCAGUCUACUUCCCAGGGAACCCAACCUGCAACAGUAAUGUCUUUCUAAAUUUAAUUAUAGAAAAUGCUUAGAUAUUUUCUUUUUAAAUAUUGCCUUUUCACAUUCUCUGUUCUUUCCUUCGGGGACAUCCACUAAAUGCAUAUGGAAUCCCUUUAUUAUAUCCUCUGUUUCUCCUAAUCACUGUUUUUAUUUUCCAUCUUUCUCUCUCCCUGUAAGUUUGGUCUGAUUUGCUGUUUAACCCAUCUAUUGACUUCUACACCUUAAUAACUCCCUUCAUUUGGCUUUGAAGACACAUACUCUUCUGGUUUUCUUCUGUAUUUCUGGCUCUGUUUCAGCCUGUUUCUUGCUUCUUCUUCAUUAUCCCCACUUCUAAAUGAAGUCCUGGGGCUCAGUUCUCAAACCUCUUCUCUUUUUCACAAUCUAAACCACUUUCCAGAUGAAGUCAUCAGUCUUGUGAUUACAAAUACUAUAAAUAUACUGAUAACUUCCAGAGCUCGGAUGUCUCCCCUAAACUUCCGAGAGCUUGCUGUGAGGUAUCUCCACUUAGAAAUUUAAAAAAUGAGCACCUGCUUUUCAUUCCCAAACUCUGCAGUUUUCCUGUCUUCGUUAAUGGUAACUGUUAUCAGUGUUUAGGCUAAAAUCCUUGAAGUCAUCUUUAAAUAUUUCUUCUCUUUCCCUCAUACUGCACAUACUAUAGAUCCUGUGGAUUUUUUUAAUUAAGGUAUCAUUGAUAUACAAUCUUAUGAAGGUUUCAC